GGUCAUGGGUCAUGGGUCACAAGUCGCUGGUGAAAGAUUGUACAUUUAUCUCGGAACAUCUCGGUGAAAAUGUAUAACCAGAUAUAAAGUCUGUAUAAUUAAUAAACGCUGUAUAUGUAUAGGAGGGUUGCAUUUGAUGUCACACUGUACCAUUCACACCAAGAAAGAGGCAUCAUCUGCCACACCAGUGCAGUGUUUCCCGCCUGGUCUGUGAUCCUCGUGUGUGCUGUCCGCGCUCUUUUGCCGCGUUCAUCUUGGUAAGGUGUACUGUUCUGAGCUGCAACAACAGAGUUCAUGACGGAGAUAUAGGAUCCUGUAGGGUUCCCAAAAUUAAAACCCAAAGAGGGGAGGUGACAUUUUAUCUAGCAGGUGAGCCCACAGUGGCUACACAGCAUCUCUGAUGAAGACGUCAAUGAGAAGAACCUUAACAGAGCUGGUGCUUGUGGAGAUCCCUAUGUAAAUGGUAAACCAGCUACUAUGGCAGAGGCAACAUAGACUGGGCCUCAACAGUGAAUAUGGGAUGCAGCAGUGUGACGAGAGGAGCCUGGGCGCCAAGAGAGGAACGCAAAAAAAAAAAUGACUCACAGUCCCUUCAGCCAAAUGAAAGCCACAAUACCGCAUUUGCAAUUUACCUUUAAAU
Molecule: long non-coding RNA, 640 nt
Organism: Paramormyrops kingsleyae
Lineage: Eukaryota; Metazoa; Chordata; Actinopteri; Osteoglossiformes; Mormyridae
Source: RefSeq, a predicted model, not a curated record